AUUGAACGCUGGCGGCAGGCCUAACACAUGCAAGUCGAGCGAGCGGCGGACGGGUGAGUAAUGUAUGGGGACUGCCCGAUAGAGGGGGAUAACUACUGGAAACGGUAGCUAAUACCGCAUACUAUCGGAUAACCCAUAUGGGAUUAGCUAGUAGGUGAGGUAAUGGCUCACCUAGGCGACGAUCCCUAGCUGGUCUGAGAGUAUGACCAGCCACACUGGGACUGCGACAGGGCCCAGAGCCCGACGGCGGCAGCAGUGGGGAAUAUUUCACAAAGGGCGCAAGCCUGAUGCAGCCAUGCCGCGUGUAUGAAGAAGGCCCUAGUGUUGUAAAGUACUUUCACUCGGGAGGCGUUACCGCCAGAAGAAGCACCGGCUAACCCCUUGCCAGCAGCCGCGGUAAUAC
RNAcentral lists this ribosomal RNA (403 nucleotides) under uncultured bacterium. RNAcentral's name for it is "partial 16S ribosomal RNA". It matches the Rfam family "Bacterial small subunit ribosomal RNA", at positions 30 to 526 of the family's 1533-position model. The record is from RNAcentral.